Molecule: long non-coding RNA, 355 nt
Organism: Dreissena polymorpha
Lineage: Eukaryota; Metazoa; Mollusca; Bivalvia; Myida; Dreissenidae
Exons: 3
Source: RefSeq, a predicted model, not a curated record
AGUUGAACAAAUAUGCAAGCACUCGAUGUGUUGAAUAUGCUGGCAACCACUGUGUGGACUCUAUUGUGAUGAAAAUAAAAAAUCCCCUGUGUGGAUGGUGCAUUUAUGAACAACGAGCCUCUCUGCAGUCUGACUGUUCCUGUAAUAAAACUGGCGAAUGCUGGCGAUCAUCCCUUACUUCCUGUAUAUCGUUGGACAUAGAACCAAAAGGGGCCACAUCUAGCUCAGGAAAGGUUGUCAUUCAAUUGAGACCUUCACCGAGUCAGCCUGAUGGUCCGAUGUAUCAAUACUUUUGUCGAUCAAAUGGAACAAUCACAAAUGCAACCAGAAAUGGUGCAAUGUUCACAUGCAAUAU